GUUUUGGUGGCUUAAUUCGUAAAGCGUCGACCUUGUAAGUCGAAAACCGAGGGUUCAAAUCCCUCCCAAAACA
RNAcentral lists this transfer RNA (73 nucleotides) under Sphyrna mokarran (great hammerhead). Its description in RNAcentral is "tRNA-Thr". It matches the Rfam family "tRNA". Rfam says of the family: Transfer RNA (tRNA) molecules are approximately 80 nucleotides in length. Their secondary structure includes four short double-helical elements and three loops (D, anti-codon, and T loops). Further hydrogen bonds mediate the characteristic L-shaped molecular structure. tRNAs have two regions of fundamental functional importance: the anti-codon, which is responsible for specific mRNA codon recognition, and the 3' end, to which the tRNAs corresponding amino acid is attached (by aminoacyl-tRNA synthetases). tRNAs cope with the degeneracy of the genetic code in two manners: having more than one tRNA (with a specific anti-codon) for a particular amino acid; and 'wobble' base-pairing, i.e. permitting non-standard base-pairing at the 3rd anti-codon position. Lineage: Eukaryota; Metazoa; Chordata; Chondrichthyes; Carcharhiniformes; Carcharhinidae. The record is from RNAcentral.